Non-coding RNA from Terrapene triunguis (Three-toed box turtle), 426 nucleotides. The record is from the annotation of a RefSeq genome assembly. Lineage: Eukaryota; Metazoa; Chordata; Testudines; Emydidae.
AUGAUCUCACACACGCCCCUUCUCUGGCUGCUGGUUCUCUGGAUUCAGGACUCCUCUGGGCAAAUUGUGAUGACUCAGUCCCCGGAAUCUCUGGCAGUGCCAGUGGGAGGGAGAGUCUCUAUCAAUUGCAAAGCCAGUACGAGUAUUACCAAUGACAUACACUGGUACCAACAGAAACCCGGACAAGCUCCCAAACUUCUUAUCUACUACGCCACCAACCUCCAGUCGGGGGUCCCAGCCCGGUUCAGUGGCAGUGGGUAUGGCACUGAUUUCACAUUCACCAUCGGCGGCGUAGAAGCUGAUGAUGCUGGAGAUUAUUACUGCCAGCAGAGUAACAGCUUACCUCUCACAGUGAUACAGACCAGUACAAAAACCUCUCUGCUGUAUGCAACACAGUUACUGCUUCCUGCAGAUACAACUGUCUAG